RNAcentral lists this transfer RNA (67 nucleotides) under Portunion sp. Its description in RNAcentral is "tRNA-Glu". The record is from RNAcentral. Lineage: Eukaryota; Metazoa; Arthropoda; Malacostraca; Isopoda; Entoniscidae.
CAAGCUAUAGUGUAAAGAACAUAUUAUAAUUUCAUUAUAAAGAUACUAUAUAAAUUUGUUAGCUUUA